GACGAACGCUGGCGGCGUGCCUAACACAUGCAAGUCGAGCGGAGUCGAUCGACGGAAGCCUUCGGGCGGAAGAUGGUUGACUUAGCGGCGGAUGGGUGAGUAACGCGUGGGCAACCUGCCUCGAAGACCGGGAUAACAGCCCGAAAGGGCUGCUAAUACCGGAUGUGGUCAAGGAUCCGCAUGGAUUUUUGAUUAAAGGGGAAACCCGUUUCGAGAUGGGCCCGCGUCCUAUCAGCUAGUUGGUGAGGUAAAAGCUCACCAAGGCGACGACGGGUAGCCGGCCUGAGAGGGUGACCGGCCACACUGGAACUGAGACACGGUCCAGACUCCUACGGGGGGCAGCAGUGGGGAAUCUUCCACAAUGGGCGAAAGCCUGAUGGAGCGACGCCGCGUGAGCGAAGAAGGCCUUCGGGUUGUAAAGCUCUGUCUGGAGGGACGAAGGAAGUGACGGUACCUCCGGAGGAAGCCACGGCUAACUACGUGCCAGCAGCCGCGGUAAAUCACGUGUA
This 509-nucleotide ribosomal RNA is filed under the name uncultured bacterium. Its description in RNAcentral is "bacterial SSU rRNA". It matches the Rfam family "Bacterial small subunit ribosomal RNA", at positions 28 to 533 of the family's 1533-position model. The record is from RNAcentral.